This 253-nucleotide ribosomal RNA is filed under the name uncultured bacterium. RNAcentral's name for it is "partial 16S ribosomal RNA". It matches the Rfam family "Bacterial small subunit ribosomal RNA", at positions 524 to 776 of the family's 1533-position model. RNAcentral also lists the same sequence under 1 other name. The record is from RNAcentral.
UACGAAGGGUGCAAGCGUUACUCGGAAUUACUGGGCGUAAAGGGUGCGUAGGUGGUCUUUUAAGUCUGUUGUGAAAUCCCUGGGCUCAACCUGGGAAUGGCAGUGGAUACUGGAAGGCUAGAGUGCGGUAGAGGGUAGUGGAAUUCCCGGUGUAGCAGUGAAAUGCGUAGAGAUCGGGAGGAACACCAGUGGCGAAGGCGGCUACCUGGACCAGCACUGACACUGAGGCACGAAAGCGUGGGGAGCAAACAGG